Hippocampus zosterae (dwarf seahorse) is the source of this 447-nucleotide long non-coding RNA. RefSeq lists it as uncharacterized. The record is from RefSeq and is a predicted model, not a curated record. The transcript is spliced from 2 exons. NCBI's taxonomy places the organism in Eukaryota, Metazoa, Chordata, Actinopteri, Syngnathiformes, Syngnathidae.
AAAAAAGGAAGACUUGAGCGGGUGCGGGAUGAAUCGAAUGAACUUCAUCUGAACUCGGAAUGAGCACACACUUUCGCGCUCAUACGUACACACACUUGACGAGUCAAGACUGUACACGGCACAGAUUUUCCACAACAGUGUGCAGAAUCGUCCAGGAAGCACGAUGGACCCAGGAAAGGGUGCACUCAUUUUGCAGACACCGGGCGGGUGGACACGGUGUGUUGGGAAAGACUCGGCAAACCACCAAAGGGCGACCUGCUGUCAAUUAAUUCACGUGGAAUGUUUGGAGGGCUUACGAAAAUGAAAAAAAAAAUAAUAAAAAGAAGUCUUGGAAAUAAUCAAUAAAAAUCUAUUGCCAAGUGAAAAACCAAGUGGCGUUUACAUUCUUGAAUACUGUGAGCGUGUCUGAUGAACCCACGCCCUACUCAGCUGUCCCUGUCAAUCAAA